GGCUGGCGUUUCCAAAUCUCCGCCACCGCCUCGUCCACAGCCCCGUAUUCCACCGAAACCAACCGCUUUUCCAGAUCAUAUUCUAUGCCAUCGUGAGUUAGGAUUUCCGGCAGCAGUUUCACAGCUUCCCAGCUGGCGUUGACCGCUUCGUGACCGAGAAAUGGACCAAAUCCGGAGACUACAAUGAGCUUUCGAUCUGACGACGCCAUAACAAACACCCCAACUAAACUAAACCCCCCACCAACAACAGAACUAUCUUAAAUACCAUAUGAUUUCUAUCUUCUUCUUCACCCUUUGAAUCAUGCGUUUCAAAUGUUUGCGACGAUGGCGGAACGGUGGAAAUUGGAGCAUAUCGAAGUUUUUUAUUUUU
Drosophila melanogaster (fruit fly) is the source of this 370-nucleotide non-coding RNA. The record is from Ensembl. Lineage: Eukaryota; Metazoa; Arthropoda; Insecta; Diptera; Drosophilidae.